This 242-nucleotide ribosomal RNA is filed under the name uncultured bacterium. RNAcentral describes it as "partial 16S ribosomal RNA". It matches the Rfam family "Bacterial small subunit ribosomal RNA", at positions 113 to 354 of the family's 1533-position model. The record is from RNAcentral.
CGACGUGAGCAAUCUGCCUUGGAGUGGGGAAUAACGGUUGGAAACAGCCGCUAAUACCGCAUGAUACAGCUAUCCCGCAUGGGGUUGGCUGUCAAAGAUUUAUCGCUCUGAGAUGAGCUCGCGUCUGAUUAGCUUGUUGGCGGGGUAACGGCCCACCAAGGCGACGAUCAGUAGCCGGACUGAGAGGUUGGCCGGCCACAUUGGGACUGAGACACGGCCCAGACUCCUACGGGAGGCAGCAG